UUUUAUUAAAAAAUGUAACACGAACAUUGUUAUACUCUUUAAUAGAAUUAAAAUAAUGAACAGUGCAUAAUUUGUCAAUAAUAUGAGGAAGUUGAACAAAAUACUUGAAGUCUGCAGAAAUAUCUUAAAAUCGAUUUGUUAUUAUUGACAUUGAAGUACGAUCGUCAUUUAAAAGCCAUACAAGUUUUGACAUGUUGCGAACAUUUUGCUGUCUUAUGCAAAAGUAUCUAACCGGCUGCCAUCUCAACACUCAACAAUAAUCAGAAUUAAGAAUUAAGCCUGACAACAGGCUGGCUGACUUUCAGACUUUCUGGCUGGUUGGAUGGUGUGUUACAUGUUACGUCGUUUAAUGCCUUGGCUGUUUUGACUGACAAGUGACAGCGGAUCAACGGUUGCCGCAAAAGAAUCCACAAUGUAUCCCAAUGCAAUACUCUCGUACUCUUAUUCGUAUUUCGUAUUUCGCAUUUCGCAUUUAUACACCUUUGUUGUGGGCCUCUAUGAUUAAUCUGCACAGCGUUUCAGGCGAUUUAGGCGUUUCGGCAUACCAGCAACACCUUAUUCGUCAUCCCAACAUCCCCACCAAUGAAUGAAGGUGAUUAAGAUUCGGAUACCCCGCACAAUUUUAUACACUAUCGCUGAUUGGUGAAUCCAUUAAUAGUGCUCUUCAUUUGUCCAUCACAAAAGAUCGCUAAUAAAUUAUAUUUUCUUAAUUGUUUGAAAGUGAAAAGGGAGCUUGACAUCUCUCUAAUCGAUUUUAUGGUAAAUUCUUUUAAAUGUGAUUUCAUUAAUAUUUAUAUUUUUAAAAAUUGUAGAAAUAUAUACAUCUUUAACAAACGAAACAAUUGAGUGUU
This is a long non-coding RNA of Drosophila sulfurigaster albostrigata, 851 nucleotides long. RefSeq lists it as uncharacterized. The transcript is spliced from 3 exons. Lineage: Eukaryota; Metazoa; Arthropoda; Insecta; Diptera; Drosophilidae. The record is from RefSeq and is a predicted model, not a curated record.